GACGAACGCUGGCGGCGUGCUUAACACAUGCAAGUCGAACGGAAAGGCCCUGCUUUUGUGGGGUGCUCGAGUGGCGAACGGGUGAGUAACACGUGAGUAACCUGCCCUUGACUUUGGGAUAACUUCAGGAAACUGGGGCUCAUACCGGAUAGGAGCUCCUGCUGCAUGGUGGGGGUUGGAAAGUUUCGGCGGUUGGGGUUGGACUCGCGGCUUAUCAGCUUGUUGGUGGGGUAGUGGCUUACCAAGGCUUUGACGGGUAGCCGGCCUGAGAGGGUGACCGGCCACAUUGGGACUGAGAGACGGCCCAGACUCCUACGGGAGGCAGCAGUGGGGAAUAUUGCACAAUGGGCGGAAGCCUGAUGCAGCAACGCCGCGUGCGGGAUGACGGCCUUCGGGUUGUAAACCGCUUUCGCCUGUGACGAAGCGUGAGUGACGGUAAUGGGUAAAGAAGCACCGGCUAACUACGUG
RNAcentral lists this ribosomal RNA (468 nucleotides) under uncultured bacterium. RNAcentral's name for it is "partial 16S ribosomal RNA". It matches the Rfam family "Bacterial small subunit ribosomal RNA", at positions 28 to 507 of the family's 1533-position model. The record is from RNAcentral.